This 1033-nucleotide long non-coding RNA is filed under the name Mytilus galloprovincialis (Mediterranean mussel). Lineage: Eukaryota; Metazoa; Mollusca; Bivalvia; Mytilida; Mytilidae. The record is from RNAcentral.
CCUAUUUUGCCAUGUACAAUCCUGUUCGAUCACAAGGAUCUUCAUGUGAUCAAAAUCUUUCAGAUUGUGAUCUGGUAACCUGAAAUGAUGGCUGACAGGAAUAUACGGUUUUUUUGUGAGGUCACUCCUGUGGCCAUUGAGGCGUUUGUGAAAUGGCUGCAUAGAUUCACCAACAUAUUGGAGAUCACAUCUAGGACACUCAAGAACGUAAAUCACGUUUGAGCUUAAGUAUAUAUAUAUUAGAGUUGUUCAAAUUGUAUAUAUAUAUUAGAGUUGUUCAAAUUGUAUAUAUAUAUUAGAGUUGUUCAAAUUGUAUAUAUAAUAUUGCAUGAACUUGAUGAAGACUAGAAUUUCAUUGUGAAGACUAAUUAUAUUUCCCAAGUUUUAAAAAAUCAUGUCAUAUAUACGAUUAAGUUUGAAUGCUUUGAAUACAAGUAAGUUGCUACUUAUUCACACUUCUGCUUUGAUGCAAGUUCGGUAUUUUUGGUAUUUUACUUUUUAUAAAAUACAUAGGAUAUUUAUUUUUCGAUAUAUUUACCAAAAAUAAAAGUUUUCCGACAAUAAAUAUGGUUUUCAAAUACUAUAUGUUGUUAGUUAGUUGCCUAAUUUUGAUAAUGUUUUAUUAGGAUAAUUUUACUUAUUUGCCUUGUUUGUCUAACUUAUUUAUCUUUCCUAAGUUUACUUUUCAUUUCUUUUUUUUCUGCGUUGUUCUAAUCGAAUGCCUCAAUGUAUUUGUGAAUUGCAAAUAGAAUAAACUUUAACCCGGUUUUUGAUAAUAAGUAAUAAAUACCCUGUUUCUGCAGUCAACAAAUAUGAUCCAUCAGCUGAAUUCUCAAUAAUGUAAUGUUAAAUAAAUGAUACUUCCACCUUUGCAUCACUGUUAAAUACAUUUGUAUGAUAGAACAUAUUGAAAGUUAAAAAAUCCUAUUUUUGUUACUCAUUUCUCAUGACAUUUUUAUAUGAAUCAUGAUUGUUGCAAUAUAAAUUUUAAAAUUAUUGUUUUAUUAUUGUUGUUGAAAUAAUUAUGUUUUUG